Molecule: ribosomal RNA, 486 nt
Filed under: uncultured bacterium
Lineage: Bacteria
Description: bacterial SSU rRNA
Rfam family: Bacterial small subunit ribosomal RNA
Source: RNAcentral
GAUGAACGCUAGCGGCAGGCCUAACACAUGCAAGUCGAACGGUAACAGAGAGAGCUUGCUCUUUGCUGACGAGUGGCGAACGGGUGAGUAACGCGUAUGCAACCUACCUUUAACUGGGAGAUAGCCCCGAGAAAUCGGGAUUAAUACCCCAUAACAUUACGAAAACUCAUGUUUUUGUAAUUAAAGCUUCGGCGGUUAAAGAUGGGCAUGCGGGACAUUAGCUAGUUGGUGAGGUAAUAGCUCACCAAGGCUACGAUGUCUAGGGGGCCUGAGAGGGUUAUCCCCCACACUGGUACUGAGACACGGACCAGACUCCUACGGGAGGCAGCAGUGAGGAAUAUUGCGCAAUGGACGAAAGUCUGACGCAGCCAUGCCGCGUGCAGGAUGACGGCCCUACGGGUUGUAAACUGCUUUUAUAUAGGAAGAAACCCCUUUACGUGUAAAGGGCUGACGGUACUAUACGAAUAAGCACCGGCUAACUCCGUG